AACCAAAAAAAAAAAAAAAAAAAAAAGAAACAAGAGUAAUGGUUUUUAGAAUUUCUACAUCGACUGAAGAAAUACAGAGACACUUGAAGUGAAUGCAGGAAACUCAAUAAUGGCUGUCUGAUCAUGCAUGGGAAGGACUGGACAUUACUGGGGCAUAUAUGGAACAUUGGAAGUUCAGAGGUGUAAACUAAGAGUCACUGUUGUAAAGGCCAAAAUGUGGAGAUUGUAGUGAAGUUAAUUUAUUUGAUAGUAACUGUAAUAUAUUUCCUUAAUAAUGGAUGCUGUGAGGAACCCAAAAUAUAUAUCUUCAUGUUAAAUUAUAUACCAAUGAAGUAAUCGGAUAUUUGCCGUUCUUCUGUGGGAGAGUUGACACUUUAUUAUUUCCCUAGAUUUUUGUAAGAGUGUCAAAGAUUUCUUCUGGAUGUGACAACCUUUACAUCAGAUCAAAGAAUAUCCAUGUCAGAUUUAAAAAUCUGAGUCUGGGAUUAUGGGUUCAGACAGUGAUCUGGAACUCACACUGUGAAUCAAUCACUAGGAGGAGUUAAUGAGAACUCAUUUGCAUGACUAACCCCUUUUCUGAGAGGCCCUGGAGAUGAGAUACUGAGACAGACCAGAUAGAAGGCCCUGGUGUAAGGAGAAGCUGUGCUGUGCCUACCAUGGCUUGGACUCCUCUCACCUUCAUGAUUCUAUCUUACUGUACAGGUUCCUUUUCUCAGUCUAUGCUGACACAACCACCCUCUAUCUCUGAGGCUCUUGGAUCAACAGCCAGACUCACCUGCACCCUGAGGAGUGGCAUCAGUGUUGCUGGUAAAUACAUUUACUGGUACAAGCAGAUGCAGGGGAACUCACCUCGGUUUUUCCUGUGCUACUACUCAGACUCAGACAAGAAGCUGGGGCCUGGAGUCACCAAUAGAGUCUCUGGAUCCAAAGAUACCUCCCAAAAUGCUGCAAAUUUGCACAUCUCUGAGCUACAAGCAGAGGAUGAGGCUGACUAUUACUAUGCCAUCUGGGAAAGUAAUGUGUCUAACAGUGAUACAGGCAGAUGGGGAAGUAAGGCAUAAAUUCUAGCUUGUGAUAAAAAAAAUCAGAACUAUUUCUUCAUUACCUUGCAAUAUUUGUACACUAUUAAAGAAAAAGAUAAUGAAAAAGUU
This is a non-coding RNA of Peromyscus maniculatus bairdii (prairie deer mouse), 1151 nucleotides long. The record is from RefSeq and is a predicted model, not a curated record. NCBI's taxonomy places the organism in Eukaryota, Metazoa, Chordata, Mammalia, Rodentia, Cricetidae.